This 253-nucleotide ribosomal RNA is filed under the name uncultured bacterium. RNAcentral's name for it is "partial 16S ribosomal RNA". It matches the Rfam family "Bacterial small subunit ribosomal RNA", at positions 524 to 776 of the family's 1533-position model. The record is from RNAcentral.
GACAGAGGGUGCAAACGUUGUUCGGAAUUACUGGGCGUAAAGCGCGCGUAGGCGGUUUUGCAAGUCGGGUGUGAAAUCCCCAGGCUUAACCUGGGAACUGCAUUCGAGACUGCAUUGCUAGAGUAUGGGAGAGGGAAGUGGAAUUUCCGGUGUAGCGGUGAAAUGCGUAGAUAUCGGAAGGAACAUCAGUGGCGAAAGCGACUUCCUGGACCAAUACUGACGUUCAUGUGCGAAAGCGUGGGGAGCAAGCAGG